RNAcentral lists this long non-coding RNA (12969 nucleotides) under Citrus maxima (pomelo). Its description in RNAcentral is "long non-coding RNA (CMAX_LNC000589)". Lineage: Eukaryota; Viridiplantae; Streptophyta; Magnoliopsida; Sapindales; Rutaceae. The record is from RNAcentral.
UCACACUUUGGCAUGGUCUAUUUGGUUCCAGUAAUUAUUAGAUAAAAAUUGGCUUUAUGUGAGGUUAAUCUUUGCCCAAUAGCCAGAGAAGCACCCUCACCUUCCUAACACACGCCAAGGCAAGAAACAAAAGAAGGGGGGGGGGGGUGUUAUCACUUUGGUAGACUGGUAUCCAGUACACUGAUUGUACAAAUUCUUCUCUCUUCUGGGAGAAUAUUUGUUAUAAUCAGUCUUCUUAUUGGUGCCAUGGGGAUCUUUGACCCAGCAGACCUAGACACACAAGUGGUCUGCAACAAAAAAUCAAAUGCGGUAAACAACCCAACCAAAACAACAUGAAAUAAAAUAAGAGAAACAAACAAUUUCUACUAGCAAAAUAAUAUCUCAUAAAUUUCUGGAAAAAGCAACUGUUUCCAUGAUUAGUUUAUUGACAUAAUCUUCUGCUGCUGCCACAACGGCUGGCCUUGAGAGCUUAUUGCAGCAACUCUUACUGUAAUAGCACUUUCCUCAGUUUUAAAGGACUGGACAGUUUUAUUCUCCAAAAAAAUAAAAAAAGAAUGGACAGUUUUAAGUAUUUUGAAUCGCAUGACCUCCUCCCUCUUCUUAUAUUCUACGCUAGUACCUUCUAUAGUGCCUAAAGUUUCAACUUCUGUUUUUCCAAUUUUUUUCUGUUUAAGUGAUUCUUCCAGUAAUGUGUCAAAAACAUUGUGUCUUCUUUACAGUGGAAAGGAUCAGCUCUUCCCGAGUCAAGAGGAAGGUGAAAGACUCCGUCAUGCACUGUCAAAAUGUCAGAUUCGUAAAUUUAAUGACAAUGGCCAUUUUCUCUUCUUGGUAGGUUUUCUUCUUGCUUUCUUUAUAUGUGUGGGUGUGUUCAAUUGUGCGCAUUAAUGAGAUUCAGAGUUUAGAAUUCAAAUGUUAAAAUCUCAUAGUUUAUUUGCUUGCUUGUGCCCUUAUAAUUUUUUGCUUCAUUAUGUGCCAUGAUAUGAUGUAAGUUCAUAUGAACAUGGGGUGAGUGUAUCUGCAUGUUUUAUAGCAUAAUUUGCACUCAAAAUGUGUUAUUUCAUUUUCAUUUUGAUGUUCAUAGCACACCUUCCCAUGUGUUGCAGGAAGAUGAUAUCGAUUUAGUAACUAUCAUAAAGGGUACAAGUUUCUAUCGCCGUGGAAAAAAUCAUGACUAUGUUUCAGAUUUCAUCCCACCAACCCCUGAUGAAUUCAGAAAGAUAUAUGAAUCAAACAGGUAAAAUAUAACUUGCUAAGGUUCUAAUAAUACAAGUUAGAUAUCUGCGAUAACAAAAUAAAAAAUUGGCAGGUACGUAUUCAAGCUAUUAAUGAAAUGACAACAUCAUCUGCCCAAAGAAUGCCAGUUGAAAGUUGGCUGAAAAUAAUCGAUUGGGCAAUCCAUUUGUUCCAUUAACAGUUAUCACGGGACUAUAAGGUUUACUGGUGUUAAGAAAAUUGUCUAAUGGAACAUGUGAAUAUGCUUAAUAUAACUUGGUAUCCUGGUCUUGGUGUUUGUUGUGUUAAUCUGAUUACCUAAUAAUUCCCUUAACCGCCCUCACUACAGCAUGCUUAUGAUUAACCGAGUUGUGAUUUCAUUAAUUUUGUAUUUUAUUAUUGGCUCACGACUAAGAUUGUCCUAGGGGGAUUUAUGUUGCUACUGGCCCUGUCAUGCUCUCAACUUUAGAGGAUGGAAAGAUUGUUAGGGGCCUUGCUGGUAUUCCUUCUGAGGGUCCUGUCUUAUUCGUUGGCUAUCACAUGUUACUAGGACUUGAAUUGACUCCUCUGGUAUGCCAAUUUAUGAUCGAAAGAAAUAUUCUUCUACGAGGAAUUGCACAUCCACUGAUGUUUAUCAGAUUGAGAGACGGAUUGUUACCUGAUUUAGCAACAUUCGACACGCAUAGAAUAAUGGGUGCAGUUCCUGUCUCAGGAACCAACUUCUACAAGCUUUUAUCUUCAAAGUCUCAUGUCCUACUGUAUCCUGGAGGCAUGCGUGAGGCUCUUCAUAGAAAGGUAACAUCUCUCAGUUAAGUUGUUACCUUCAUGGCUUCAUCCUAACUUUUAAAUUCAUAAACUAGUUUGAUGUUCACUUCAUUCAGAAUUAUGCGAAUUCACUCUAAUACCAAAACUUCAAUUUCCAAAUUCCUAUAUGCUAUUUUAUAAAUGCAAUAAUUUGAAAGAGAAGAUAGCAAGUUGGUGAAUUGCCUAUUUACUUCUGCAAACUAUGAAUGCAAAAAUCUUCGAAUGAGCUAAAUGAUAUAUCUUGUUAUAUGACGCAAAUAACCUUGCUGUUACAAUAAAUUUAAUUUACUUUAUUUAUGUUUGUCCUGAAAUUUGAAUUCUCUUUCCAUGAUGUAAUGCUGACUAGCUUCACAUGUCCAUGUCACAGUCUUACUUGAGUAGGGUGAUUUUGUUUGAGCAUGCAUGCAUGCAUCUGUUUUGUGGGACUACAAGUACUAGAUAUUCUCCUUCUUCAUUUCUUUCUGUUUGAUGGUUUUAUAAACUUGUACAAAAAUGAGACGCUAGGUAUACUUGUUAAAAUUCAGAAUGUUUUAUCUCAUCUCUUCAUACUUUUAGGGUGAAGAGUAUAAGUUGUUGUGGCCAGAUCACUCUGAGUUUGUCAGGAUGGCAGCUAGAUUUGGGGCUAAAAUCAUACCUUUUGGUGCUGUUGGAGAAGAUGAUAUUGGUCAAGUAAGCCUGAAACAUUACCUCUGCUGUAUAUUUCUGCUUAUUUUUCAGAUUCAUUUAAUCAGCCACUAGCUUUAAGUCAACCUCUGGUAUCUAACGAACAGUUGAUUGCAUAAUCAUUGACGUCAGGUAGUUUUUGAUUAUGAUGACUUGAUGAAGAUUCCUUACUUUAAAGCUCAAAUAGAGGCAUUAACAAGCGAGACUAUCAAGUUGAGGUAGUUUGAGUUAUUUUGUAUGUUUUUCCUUUACAUUUUUCAUUUAGUCAAUAUCUAUGCCUUCCUGCAUGGCCUCAUUAGAGUUUGACAUGAUCUGCUGAUGAUAGGACUGAUGCAAACGGUGAGAUACAGAAUCAAGAUAUUCAUCUCCCAGGCAUUCUACCCAAACUUCCAGGCCGCUUUUAUUAUUAUUUUGGGAAACCAAUUGAAACAGAAGGUAUUGUUGUUCAAUGACCCAUAUCAUGAAACCUAUCAGGUUACCUAAUUAUGAAGAAUCUAGUCAGGCAAAACAAAUUUUUAUAGUUCAACUGUGUCUAGCUAACUAAACUAAUCUCCUUUUUCGAAAGGCUAAUGAUAUAAUAUGGUGAUAGGAUGUAUUGCUAGAGACAUACAUAAUAACAGUUAUUUUGCUUCCACGACAGAUAUUCUUGAGUGAAAACCACUUCUACCAGUGACCAUGUCGUGUUUGAAUUAUCCAGUACUUUAGUGGCUGAAACAACCAAGAAUUCAACUGGACUGUGACAAUAACUUUUUGUUCAAUGCUUCUUGAUUCUGGGUUCCUUGGCUUGCAAGUAUCCGGCCCAACUAAAAGGCAAACGGUUGAUACUUUGUUAUAAAUCAUUAGUUUAUCCACCUAGAAAAACCACUAGACUAACCUGCUAGAGGUUGUUCAACAUUCAGAUGUGGUAGGUCUAUAUCAAUAGACGCAUGUCUUCUUUCUAAUGUUUUCUAUUUCAGAAUUUAGGGUACUUGUAUAGAUUAAACAAAUUUAAAUUUCAAUAGUUAAAUAAAAUAGUGCCUCUAAGUUGUAGUUAUUGUAUUUUCUUUUAUUGUUGUAUUUUAUUUUUCCCAAAUCUUUCACAGCUUUGAUAUUUAAUGCAAGUUGAUUAACUUAAAUUUUUGUGAAGGGAGGAAACAAGAAUUAAGAGACAGGGAGAAAUGUAACGAGUUGUAUAUAGAAGUAAAGUCUGAGGUUGAAAAGUGCAUUGCUUAUUUAAAGGAGAAGAGAGAAACCGAUCCGUACAGGAAUCUAUUGGCUCGACUUACUUACCAGGCUACACAUGGCUCUACAAAUGAAGUCCCGACUUUUCAAAUCUGAGCAUUGAUUCUUUGUAAUCUCUGAGAAGAUCUGCAAGAGCUUCAGGAAAUAAAGGUAGCAUCAGUUCAUGGAAAAAAAUUAGUUGAUGCGUUAGACAAACAGUUCCAAGAUUAUUUAUUCUUGAUUAGAUAGUAGAAUUUGUUUGAAGAAAAGAACAAGAAAAACAUAGAUAGAUCACACGUUUGUUAAUACUGCACGUAGGAUCUUGUAAUAGACAUUCAUAGCCGUUCAAGACGGAAGAAUAGUGUCUGUUCUCUGUAGAUUAAUUACAACACUAUUUUUUCAGUGAAAUGGAGUAAAAGUAUUAUUGUAUUUGGUACAUGUGGUGAUCGGCUUGGGGACGAGUCUUCCUUGGUCAUUGUUAAGGCUGCUCAUUGUGGAGAAUAUACAGAGGCUAAACAGAACAAGCUUAAGAAGCAAAAUCACGUCAACAUCAGUGAGUCAGCAAAGAUUGUUAAGGAAAGCAAAACUUGAGCUGACAGCUCAGCAUAGAUUGUUGAAGUUUGUUAUUAGUCAUAUGAAAUGUGUGUAACAAAAUAUGAUUAGUUUUAAGUAAUAAGUAAUAAAAGUUUGUUACAGAUUGUUACAUACAUGUAUGUAUAAAUACAUGUGUGUAUUGAUUCAAUAAGUCAAGAGAUUCUAGAUUCAAUAAAAUUCAUUUUUCUUUGUGAUUUUCUCUUCAGCCAAAUACAUUUGUUCUCAAUUUUCACAUGGUAUCAGAACUCUCAGUAUAUGUUCAAUGCUAAUUACAACAUAAUGAAUGCUAAUUACUCACACAUGAGAGGUAACUUUAGGAGAGGUUCUCCUGUUGAUGGACAUUUUGGUCAAUUUGGAGGCAGAAGUUCAAAUCCUACUGGAGGCAUGAUUUCCAAUUCAUAUUCUAAGGGCUUUUCUAUUGGUGGUAGUAACUUUGGUAGUAAAGGUGGUUAUUUUGGUGGAUUUAGCAGAGGUGGUCAUUUUGGUGGAGCUGGCAGGGGUCAAAUUAUGCAAUUUUCCAUACCACCACAUAUAAAGGGCAUGUUUCCUUCUCCUAGAUCUCAAGUUCUAAAAACUGAUGAUUUUGGAGAAGGCAUUUCUAUUUGUCAAAUAUGUCACAAGUAAGGUCACACUGCUGAUGCUUGUGGGCACAUAUAUGAUGACACAUAUUUACCUUUAUCCAAACCUUUUGGUAAAGGUCAAAUGUUUGGGCCAAAGACAGCAUAUAUGGCUAACUUUAAGCCAUUCUCUAGUUAUCAAUCAUCAUUUGAGGAUUAUUAUGAUAUCCCUGACUCCAAUCAUUACUCUUAUGUCAUCUAUCCAUCAGAACAUUUCGCUGUUCCUGAAGCUCAUGUUGCAAAUUUUGAGAGUCCUGCUAAUGAAGGUUGGUAUCUUGACAGUGGUGUUACACAUCACUUAACCAACAAUAUGGCUAAUAUGAAUGUUCGAGAGAAAUUUAAAGGCUCAUUUCAGCUUAUCGUUGGCAAUGGUCAAGGUUUGACUAUUACUCAUAUUGGUGAUGCUUAUUUUAGUUAUAAAGGUUCUAACAUUGCUUAUAAUCAUACACACAUUGCACUUAGAGAUAUACUAUUGGUUCCUUAUAUUACAAAGAAUUUAUUGAGCAUCUCAAAACUGACAGCUGAUAAUAACUUUUUUGUUGAAUUUGUUGGUAAUAUUUGUUAUGUGAAGGAUUCUCUAAAAGGGAAAGUACUUCUACAGGGACUUGCUGAAAAAUGAUUAUACGAGUUGCUUCUGAACUCUUAUCAGUCAACCCAAUUUUCUCAUUCAUCCUUCUUGUGUCAUACCUCUUCCAAUAAGCCUUUGUCAAUGCUUUCUACAUGUUGUUUGAAUUUUUCAUAUUCCAACUAUCGUUUAGAAUAAUGAUACAAGUCUUCUGUCUUGUUAUCAAACUAAUGUUUCUUCCUGUAUUGAACCAGUUAAUGAAAUGACUUUUUUUCAUAGGAGAUUUGAGCAUCCUCAUACUCAGAUACUGUUGCAUUUACUCAAGCAUGUUUCUUUUAUUAAUCUUUCCAAUAAAUCAACUAAACAAACAUUUCAACAUGUUUGUGAAGCCUAUCAACUGGGGAAGAAUCAUAAGUUACAUUUUCUAGUUAUUGAAACAAAAACCUCUCAAGUUCUUGAACUCAUUCACACUUAUUUGUGGGGUCCUUCACCUGUUCUUUCUCAAGAUGGCUAUACCUAUUAUAUCAAUUUUGUUGAUGAUUUUAGUAUAUACACAUGGAUCUAUCAUCUAAAGCUAAAAUCAGAAGCCUUAAGUGUCUUCAAAUUGUUCAAAUUGUAGGUUGAAAAACAAUUUCAAACUACCAUUAAAAUGUUGCAAUUUGACUGGGGAGGAGAAUACAUACCAUAUACUGAUUUCUUAAGUCAAAAUGAGAUCAUCUUUAGGCACUCUUAUCCUUAUACACACCAUCAAAAUGGAUUAGUUGAAAGGAAGCACAAACAUAUUGUUGAAUUAAGACUUACAUUGCUAGCUCAAGCUGAACUACCAUUUACAUUUUGGUGGGAUGUUGUUCACACAGUAGUUUAUCAUAUUAACAGACUGCCAUCUAUAGUCUUAAGCUUUUUUACACCUUAUGAGAGAUUGUUUAAUUAUAAACUUGACUAUAAUAUGCUUAAAUGUUUUGGUUGUGCAUGUUACCCUUACUUGAGAGGUUAUAACAAGCAUAGAUUUGAUUAUCACUCAAAUAAGUGCAUUUUCAUUGAAUAUGGUCUAUCUUACAAAGGAUAUAAGUGUCUACAUUCCUCAGAAAGAGUCUAUAUAGUUAGUCAUGUUAUUUUUUUAUAAAUUUUCAUUUCCUUAUUCCUCAGAUUCUGUUUUUAAUUCUAAAGAAUUUGAUCCUUAUUCAGCUCAAUUAUUCACUUCUCAUCAAGUAUAUAAUUUGUAUGUAUCUUUACUCCCUUAUAAUAGCAGCUACAAUAAUUCUGAUUUGGUAAGCUCCACCAGUAGCAGUGCUAAUCACUCAGAUAAUCUUAAUCCAGCUAACAAUUCUCAUUCAUCCUCACAAAUAAACACCUCAUGUACUUAACCAACAAGUACUUCAAUACAGCAAACCAAUGCACCAUUCAUUAAACCAAACACUCUUUCAUCUUCACAACUACAACCAUAACCAUAUCAACAUGUUUCAUAUGCACCCUUUUAUACUCAAGAAAAUACACACCCUACGACUACCAGAAGCAAAGCUGGUAUAUUCAAGCCUAAAUUGUACUCUGCAACACUCAUUCACAAAUAACCAGAUUUUGGAUAUGAAGCAUUACAAGAUCCCAAAUGGUUUGAAGCCAUGAGGAAAGAGUAUAAUGCUUUAAUAAAAAAAAAUGGCAUAUGGUCAUUAGUUCCAAGAAUAGAUGAUCAUAAAGUGGUUGGUAACAAGUGGGUGUAUAGGGUGAAGUAUAAUACAGAUGGAAGCUUAUCCAAGUACAAAGCCAGGUUGGUAGCCAAGGGUUUUCAGCAGGUUGCAGGGGUAAACUACUUUGAAACAUUCAGUCUUGUAGUCAAACCAGCUACUGUUAGAGUUAUCUUAAACUUGGUUGUUAUUUAUCAGUGGAAGAAAAAGCAAAUUGAUGUGAAUAAUGUCCUUCUCAAUGGAGAUUUGAUGAAAGAUGUUUUUAUGGAUCAAUCAGCAGGUUUCAUUGAUGCUCAAAAACCAGACUAUGUGUGUAAACUUCAUAAAUCUCUUUAUGGACUCAAACAAGCUCCAAGAGCUUGAUAUGAAAAAUUGAAAGGAUGUAUGUUGCAGUGGGGUUUCAUGAACUCCAAAGAUGAUUCUUUUUUUUUUUUUUCAUAAAGAAAACCACCUCAAUCAUGAUUAUGGUGUUGAUAUAUGUUGAUGACAUUUGGUUACAGGACCAAAUAGCAUUGAGCUGGAUAGUUUUAUUACUAAGUUCAGCACAAUAUUUGCAUUAAAAGAUCUUGGCAUUCUUUCUUAUUUUCUGGGGAUAGAAGUAUUGUAUGAUACAAGUUGUGUUUAUUUGUCUCAAAGAAAAUACAUUAGGAACCUGUUAUCAAAAAUCAAAAUGCUUGAAUGCAAUGGCAUUGAUACACCUAUGAGUAUAGGGUCAAAUUGCAUAAAGAAGCUCAGGGAAGUCUUGGACAUUAUGUUGAAGAUCUAACCCACUACAGAAGUAUAGUUGGUGGAAUGCAGUACUUAAUAUUGACAAGACCAUAGAUUGCCUUUGCUGUGAAUAAAUUGAAUCAAUAUAUUUCAUCACCAACAUUGCAGCAUCUUAUGGCAUGUAAACGAGUUUUGAGAUACUUGAAAAGCACUCAAGAUUAUGGUCUUAAAUUUGUUCAAGAUGGAGAUAUGAAACUCACAGCAUUCAUUGAUAUAGACUGGGCUUGUGACUUGGAUGACAGAAAAUCUGUUGGUGUAUAUUGUGUCUACUUAGGCAACAAUUUAAUAUCUUGGUCAUCUAAGAAGCAAUCAGUUGUUAUCAGGUCAAGUGCAGAGAGUGAAUACAAAUCUUUAGCUUCAAUAAGUGCAUAACUUAGUUGGUUACAGUCACUGUUUUCUGAGAUAUGAUUGAGAUGCACAGAAACACCUACCAUUCGGUGUGAUAACAUUAGUGCUACAGAGUUAGCUCGAAAUCCUAUUUAUCAUUCAAGAAUAAAGGAUAUUGAACUUAAUAUGCAUUUGAUCAUAGAUAAGGUAAUUGCUGGUGAGUUUAAUAUUCAUUAUAUUCCAAGCAAUGAAUAAAUUGCUGACAUUAUGACAAAGUCUCUUUCAUUUGUUCACUUCAAUUAUUUAAGAGCCAAACUCAAUGUCCUUCAAUAUCCCUUGAGUUUGAGGGGGGCUGCUAAGUCUGUUGAUUGUGGAGAAUAUACAAAGGCUAAACAGAACAAGCUUAAGAAGCAAAACCACGUCAGCAUCAGUGAGUCAGCAAAGAUUGUUAAGGAAAUCAUAACUUCAACUGACAGCUCAGCAUAAGUUGUCGAAGUUUGUUAUUAGUCAUAUAAAAUGUGUAUAAAAAAAUAUAAUUAGUUUUAAGUAAUAAGUAAUAGAAAUUUGUUACAAAUCGUUACAUACAUGUGUGUAUUGAUUCAAUAAGUUAAGAAGAUUAUGGAAUUAAUAAAAUUAAUUUUUUUCUGUAAUUUUCUCUUCAGCCAAACACGUUUGUUCUCAAUUUUCACAGUCACGACGGUGUGUAUUUUACAAACAUUACUAUUUUAUUGAUAUAUUUACAAUUAAUGGCAUGGACCCUCCUUUUCAAGUGUGUCGGCGGAAGAAGGUGGACUGAUUUUGCAAUUUGCUAAGUAGCCGUUUCGUAUGGUUCACGUGAGCUGCACGAUUGGGGGAGCAUGUGGGCUCACAGAGUCAGUCACUGUCUGUCGGACCGACCGACCAAGUUAGUGUCAAAGAAUAAAAAUAUCUAGGUGAUGGGGUUCUUAACUAAUGAAAUAAAAUUUUGGGGUGAUGAACUUAAAAUUCGGAUUGCUUGAUAACAAAAUGAGGACCUGUCUAUGGUACAGAUUCUGUAACAAACAUCUCCCGUCAUCCCACCAUCCGAUUUUCUUUUGUUUAGUUUCUCACUCCACAUCCAACCACAUCCAACGGCUGAUGCUGCAGUCUGUAGCUUACAGAUUCUGUAAGCUAGUCAAGUCCACAAAAUGAUUUUAAACUAAUAUAGUACUGUCAAAUCAUCUAUAAAUUUGUCGUUGUUGGUGAUAAGUUUUUUCAUCGAUCAAGAGCUUCUUGUCAUAAAAAUGAUAGGAACAUAUCCAAGCCUGCUCAUCUAAAAAAGAUCGUUACACUCCACCACCGGCCAAUACUCAAUCUAUGUAAAUUAGAUUCGUGUCCUUGUCCUUUACACAAUCAACUUAUUGAUUCGAAGCUUAAAGAAAUUAGGUCAGAGUGAGAGAGAGGAAAAAGCCAAAAAUAAAUAAAUAAAUAAAUUACGUUUCACUUACGACUCAAGAUAUUCCACUAUAUUUGAACAUGUGUUUUGUCUAGAAUAUAAAUUGUACACUUAAAAAGUAUAUGAUAUUGUAUGCCAGAUUUGAAAGCUCAGCAUUAUUGCACGUUUGAAAGUAUCACAAUAUUUUAUCUUUUAUUGAGGUCAUCGACGUGUUCUUUGGUCAAACCUCAUUGUCAUGGACAAAUGAGAAUUAUUACAGAAAAUUAUUUUAAAAGGUCACAUAUUGUUUAUUUAAUAAUAAUAGGGAUCUCAAAAAUUAAAUUAUUAUUAUUAUUAAUAAAAACAAUGAUAACAAUCAUAUUAACAACAACAACAACAAUAAUAAUGAUAAUAAUAAUAAUUAUUAUUAUUAUUAAUAAAAACAAUGACAGAAUAAUAAUAAUAACAAUAACAAUGAUAAAAUAAUAAAACAAUAUAUUAAUGCAAGACAAAAGUAGAAUUAUGAAAUUUAGUUGGAGUAAAAUGGUGGGUUUAAAGAAUGAAAACUUAAUUUCCAUGGGAGAUGAGAAUUAAAUUUUCGUUCCUUAAUCCUUAAAGUGCAUGAGCUCUAUAUAUUUCAUUCUAAUUUCUUUAUUGUUUUAAUAAGUAAAUAUCAUUAAUUAUUUUUAUUCUAAAUUCAAAUUCUUCAAUCUCUCAAGUAAACACUAUUAACGGUGCGAUGCUAUAUUAAUUAAAAAGGGCUUGGGAGAGGACCAAUGAAGGGAAAGAAAAAAAAAACUUUUCUAAUAUUUUAUAAACUACUAUCGAACUUCAUUUUUUUCAAACUAUUAUAACCAUACCAAUGGGGUGACUAUUUACCUUAAAAUUAAGAGGAGAAGAUGGGGAGAAGAUGACGACCACUUCAAUUAAUUCAAUUGCAAUUAAAUAAUUAAAAAAUUGAAUAGAGAAAUUAAAAUUAAAAGAGAAGAAGAAUAACACUAACCUCCCUAGUGUUUUUCACUUUUACUACUUAAUUAAAUCUUUGAUUUUUUUCGUUACAAAAAAUCUUUAUUUUUUUAAUUAGUUAUUGCAUCUUUUACGUUAAAAUAAUAUAAAAUACACUCUUUUUUUUGCAUUGUAACCUUACUAUUAAAUUUUAAUAUGGUUUGUUUGUCAAAAGGUAAAUUAAUAUGGUGGUACACUGUAGACUCUACGCAACAUUAGUUCGUCGCCAUUUAUUAACUUAUAUUUUAAAUUUUUUUUAAAAAAAAGACAAUUUACAAACUUGGUAGCUGACAGCUGACUCCACAUUCUUUAAUUGGUAAGAAACAAGAAGUUAUAUUAUAUUCACAGCUGAUCAGCUAUCCAAAUCUUAUAUUUCUAAGUAAUGUUAAUAAAUAUUAUAAAAAUUAUGUUGAACACUUUAAUUUAAAAAAAAAAAAUUUAUUAUAUCAUCAUCUAUUACACGAAGGGUCCGACUGUAUUGCUCUACUAUAAUGUACUGCUAUAACCAUACGAUCAUAGCAAUAAUUUAUUUUUUACUAUUUAUAUAUCAUUUUGAUCGUGUGGUUAUGAGACAGUACUCUACAAUGGAGCAACACCAUAGCCAUUGUGUUAUAUGAAUUACUAUUAAUUGUAAGAUAGAUUAAAUGUAUCUUACAAUUAAGUUUUUUAGUACAAAAAUGAAAAAUGAAAUAUGAAAUAGUGGAAUCAAAAGGCCCAGUGAAUGUAUUUUACCUAGUUAUAAGUUACAUUAAAUGUAAUUUAGAGAGACCCUCAAGGCAAUAUAUUAUAAGUCAUUAUUAUAUGAUUUCUUUUAAUACUAAUAUAAUACUCAUUUUUAAUGGAUAUUUCUCAUGUUAUUAAACGCUAGAAUUUUUAUUUCCAACAUCUUAUACUUAGAUGGACAAUGAGGAAUUCAUUAUUUUGAAAAAAAUUUGACUACAAAUUAUGUGCAAUACUUUUUAUUGUAAAAUAGCCUUUUCUUUUAACUUCUUCUUCUCCUAAUCUCCUUCUUUUUUUUUUAAAGUAUUUAUAGAAUUAUUAUUUUUUUUUGAGCACAAAAUUCAAUAUUGAAGAUAAAUAAAUAAAAUUAAUAAUUAAAUUGAAUAAAAUAAUUUUUGUACAAUUUGACUUAAUUAUAUUGUUGUAAAUAUGCAUUAAAUCUCUUAAAAUUAUGUGUCUUAAACAUUUUUUGGUGUUUUAAACAAAUAAAGUUAAUUAAUUUUUAAAAAAUUUAAAAAUUUUGAAUUUUUUAAAUUAAUAUUUAAAAUACACAUAAUAAUAAAAUUUUCAAAAUAAUUUUUAAAACGAAAUGACACCAAGAGAAAAAUACACUCGUUUUCGCACUUUCCCCUCCUUGUUCUGUUGUUCAUUUAUAUUAUUUUAAUCAUAUAUUCCGUUCAUUCACAAUAAAUUGACUUUUAAAUUAUAUUAGAUCAAAUCUGUUUACUAAAGAUGGAAAAACAUUCCAAGAACCUUACAUAACAUCACAAGUCACAAAAGCGCCACAAAACAAACAGAGGGAGAGAGAAAUUCUUACUUUGGUUCUAGAUGGCGACGGUCGGAGCUUGCAUCUUUUCGGCCGUUUCCUCGCCGGUUUUUCGUCGACAAAUUACGUCGUCGUCCGAGAAGCCGAAACGGAAUCCUAUAUUGAAGCGAGUAGCGGUGUCAACGGAGCGGACAUCAGCUGCAACGACGACAGUGAUGACGGAAACGACGCCGACGAGGAUAUUUGUGGAGAAGAAGAGUAGCGAGUUAGUAGAAGAUGAAGCUGAGACGAAACAGAGAGUUAACGUGAGAGAAUAUUCGGAGGAGGAGAGUGAAGGUAACGGAAAGAGCUUGAAAGAUUACUUUGAUGAAGCCGAAGAUAUGAUCAAAUCGUCAUCAGGCGGCGGUCCGCCCCGCUGGUUCUCGCCUUUAGAAUGCGGGUCCCACACUCGCGAUUCUCCUCUCCUCCUCUUUUUGCCUGGUGCGUUUCUCUUUUUAGCCAAUCGGUUAUUAUUGUUUAUGUCGUCACCUUUUACAUUUUUUAAUGCUCAUGCUUUAUCCAAAAAUCAUUUGCUAAUUAUUAACAUACUUUUUAUAAUAUUUUACGGGAUCAGGCUACGGUGCAACUGUGGUACCGUGUCACAGUUGCAUCCAGCC